RNAcentral lists this ribosomal RNA (779 nucleotides) under cf. Jutarus sp. ZJ270. RNAcentral's name for it is "partial large subunit ribosomal RNA". It matches the Rfam family "Eukaryotic large subunit ribosomal RNA", at positions 366 to 944 of the family's 3401-position model. Lineage: Eukaryota; Metazoa; Arthropoda; Arachnida; Trombidiformes; Eriophyidae. The record is from RNAcentral.
AAAUAGAACUUUGCAGAGAGAGUUAAGAGGGCGUGAAACCGUUAAUUGGCAAACGAAUCGGAGCCACGAAGUCGUUUCGUCGAGGUUCGCCUCGUUGUAAGCGUACACUGCACCCAGUUAGACGAUUGGCGGUGGAAACAGCGAGUCUCGGGAGGUAGUAGUUUGGCUCCAUGAAUUUGGAUGUCCGAAUUGCUGGCCCGCGGGCAAGAGAACUACCACCAAAUACUGACUGGUAAGUGAAGUCGCUAGCGGCGCGCGUUGUUACACGUUUGACGUGUAUGUUUCAAGUUCGGUAUCUUUGAAUUUGGACUUGCUUGUUACCAAUGGGGCAACUCUUGGUGCUUGUAUAGCUUCCAUCUAAUCGGGUAUCGACUUAGCAUGCGCUUGUAUGAACGUGAAUCGUUUGAUAGCGCGCGUCUGUUGGUGGCAACAAUCGCAGUGAGUAGGUCGGCUUUCCGAACGACCCGUCUUGAAACACGGAAGGAGUCUAGUUAGGCAUCAAGUCGAUCGGUCUUGAAUAGGCCAGACUGGAGUUUUCACUCCGAUUGAAGGCGUAGAGAAUCAUGUGAUCUGUGGCAAUCCAUGCUGCAAGCGCAACAUGUGCCUGCUCGUAUGCCAUUGCGCAAUCAUGGGCGGAGUAAAGAGAUGUCUGACUGGUACCCGAAAGAUGGUGAUGCUUGGGCAAAUUGAAGCCAGAGGAAACUCUGGUGGAGGAUUUAGUCUGACGUGCAAAUCGAUCGUCAGCCUGAGUAUAGGGGCGAAAGACUAAUCGAACCAUC